This 848-nucleotide long non-coding RNA is filed under the name Homo sapiens (human). RNAcentral describes it as "HSALNT0246484". Lineage: Eukaryota; Metazoa; Chordata; Mammalia; Primates; Hominidae. The record is from RNAcentral.
CCCUGGACUGAGGCUGGAAACAGGGCAGCUCCCCCAUGGCCGAGGCUCCUGCAACAGCCAGGCUUUCCUCAGGACCCCUGCUCUGUGUCUCAGGGGUGCUGAGAUCCUGUUCUUGGCUGGAGGACUGUGGCUUACAGGCUGAGUCUCCCUUCUUGCUCUCCCUGUUGGUCCAGGGUGAAUAAGAGACUAUGGUGAAUCCUCUUCUGCAGGGCUGAGGCUGCAGGGACCAGCUCUGCCCUGUGUCCUGUUAACGAUGUUUCUAGAAUGCUCAGCAUCCACCAGUGCAGGUCCUGCUCUUGGGGUGCAUCUUGGAGUCUCACCACCCACACUUCACCAGGCUCCAGCAGCAAUUUCCAGUGCUGCCCUGGGGUCCUCAGGGCCCUGUCUGGGGUCAUCUUCUGUAGGUAGAUGGUAUCAUAGCAGCCCACCAUGGAGACAAGCUGCAGGGCCAGUAACUAGGCCUCAGCCUCGGCAGGGUCCACUGCCCAGGUAAUGCCCAGCUUCAACACCACGGGCUCCCCUGGGGGCAGGUCCACUUUGAGAAACCCCUGCUAUGAAGGAAAGAAGCUUGGCCAGUGUGAGCAGGUAAGAAGCUCCUCAAAUCUCCAGGGAAGACCCUGGGUCCAGUCAGCAUCCUCAAGGCCCAGGCCCAGGGGCACAGCCUCCUGAGGCCAUAGUUCAGUGGGGACAAAGUGGGGGUCCAGACCUGCAUCUUCCAACCCUUCUGGGGCUGCUGCCAGGGUCCCUGGCCCCCAUGCCUCAGAGCCCCCCUGCACAGGCUGUCCUGGGCUCUGCCCCCAGCUCAGCUCCAUCCCUGAGGACCCCUCCUGCUCUGACUCUGCCUCAGU